AUUGAACGCUGGCGGCAGGCCUAACACAUGCAAGUCGAACGGUAACAGGAAGAGGCUUGCUUCUUUGCUGACGAGUGGCGGACGGGUGAGUAAUGUCUGGGAAACUGCCUGAUGGAGGGGGAUAACUACUGGAAACGGUAGCUAAUACCGCAUAACGUCGCAAGACCAAAGAGGGGUACCUUCGGGCCUCUUGCCAUCGGCUGUGCCCAGAUGGGAUUAGCUAGUAGGUGGGGUAACGGCUCACCUAGGCGACGAUCCCUAGCUGGUCUGAGAGGAUGACCAGCCACACUGGAACUGAGACACGGUCCAGACUCCUACGGGAGGCAGCAGUGGGGAAUAUUGCACAAUGGGCGAAAGCCUGAUGCAGCCAUGCCGCGUGUAUGAAGAAGGCCUUCGGGUUGUAAAGUACUUUCAGCGGGGAGGAAGGGAGUAAAGUUAAUACCUGUGCGCAUUGACGUUACCCGCAGAAGAAGCACCGGCUAACUCCGUG
This 490-nucleotide ribosomal RNA is filed under the name uncultured bacterium. Its description in RNAcentral is "partial 16S ribosomal RNA". It matches the Rfam family "Bacterial small subunit ribosomal RNA", at positions 30 to 507 of the family's 1533-position model. The record is from RNAcentral.